GCCGGAGUGGCGGAAUGGCAGACGCACGGGACUUAAAAUCCCGGGGAGCAAGGCUCCGUGUGGGUUCAAAUCCCACCUCCGGCACCA
This 87-nucleotide transfer RNA is filed under the name Desulfotomaculum sp. RNAcentral describes it as "tRNA-Leu". It matches the Rfam family "tRNA". Rfam says of the family: Transfer RNA (tRNA) molecules are approximately 80 nucleotides in length. Their secondary structure includes four short double-helical elements and three loops (D, anti-codon, and T loops). Lineage: Bacteria; Bacillati; Bacillota; Clostridia; Eubacteriales; Desulfotomaculaceae. The record is from RNAcentral.